GACGAACGCUGGCGGCGUGCCUAAUACAUGCAAGUAGAACGCAGUUGCGAACGGGUGUGUAACGUGUAGGUAAAUGGCUCAUAGCGGGGGGAUACUAUCGGAAACGAUAGCUAAUAACGCCUACUGUGAGACGGACCUGCGUUGUAUUUGCUAGUUGGUGAGGUAAAGGCUCACCAAGGCCACGAUACAUAGCCGACCUGGGACGGAGAUCGACCCCACUGGGACUGAGACAGGCCCAGACUCCUACGGGAGGCCGCCGUAGGGAAUCUUCGGCAAUGGAGGGAAGUCUGACCGAGCAACGCCGCGUGAGUGAAGAAAGUUCUCGGAUUGUAAAGCUCUGUUGUUCGGGAAGCGGUACCUAACCAGAAAGGGACGGCUAACUACGUGCCAGCAGCCGCGGUAAUAC
This 406-nucleotide ribosomal RNA is filed under the name uncultured bacterium. RNAcentral describes it as "partial 16S ribosomal RNA". It matches the Rfam family "Bacterial small subunit ribosomal RNA", at positions 28 to 526 of the family's 1533-position model. The record is from RNAcentral.